Molecule: long non-coding RNA, 6276 nt
Organism: Musa acuminata AAA Group (dessert banana)
Lineage: Eukaryota; Viridiplantae; Streptophyta; Magnoliopsida; Zingiberales; Musaceae
Exons: 2
Source: RefSeq, a predicted model, not a curated record
GUCCCCAUUCUCCGUCCGCGAUACAUCGUCGUCGCUUUCCUUCGACAAAUGCGGAGAGAAGACAAAGAUUUGGAAUUCGACCACUGGCCAAUUCGAAGCCCUAUUUGGUUUGGCUCCCCCUCCUUCCUCCCUUUUCUUGCUCCGAAUUAAAUCUUCUUAUGUGACGUUUGUCGUCUGAAACGACGAUUCUCUUUGGUAUCAUGCAUUUGAUUCGUCUACACGAGGAGGAUUGUGGUUUGACUUAAAUGAGUCCUGUGGGUUAUCUACUUGUUUUUAUAAUAAAGGGGAAUGACAAAGAAAGUCUGACAAAAUUGCCAACCAUGAAAUGAAUCCCUACCCAUGAUUAGGUUCUGCUGAAGUUAAAUUGGACUUAGCGUGCGUAAUUCUUUCAUUAAUUUGUUUAAUGCUUAUAAGGAGCAACAUACAGUUAGAUGAUGUGUAAAAUGUAUCCAAAUUGUGAAAUUGGGGCUAUAAUUUCUCCCGUUGCACUACACCUUCGAUGAUCUAGAAGUGGCAGAAAUUGAAAUUUAACUUUUACAUGGCAGUUUUAACACUUAGAUGCAAGUGUUGGGAAUCUCAUUAGUUAUUGGAAUCGACAAGAUACUUUAUCUGAUCCACAUGUCCAAUAAUAAUAAUGACCAAACACAUUUAUCGACUAGUCAUAAAUGAGAGACUUUUCAGAUAUUUAAAAUUAUUUUAAAUUGUUUUGAUGAUGAAAGAAAGCAUUAAGUAUACUUUUUAAAAAAAAUAAAGGAUUGGUGUCCCUUUUCUGCCUAUCAAUACCAUUAAGGGAUAGACAUUAAGUUCCAUAAGACAUAGAUUAGAAGACACCAAUUGUUUCUUAAUAAAUUAAUCUAAGGAGUCCAAUAUGUGAACUAAUCAAAGGCUUAUUCUUGGACAACUGUGACUCAAGGUAAGUUUAUUUCGUUGCAUGUCCAAUAUAAAUCCAUUGUUUUGCUUACAACAAGAGCAUUUCAAAUCUGUAUGUUUAUGAGUUUUCUAAUCUAUUGUUCUCAAUAUUAUUUUUUAAAACUACAUAGAAAGAAAAGAAAAGUGGUGGAUAAAAAUGUAAUAUUUACAUGGUAAUUUUAACUUUUAGAUACAAGUGCACUCCGAGCCUGUAUGCCUUUGCAUUUUAUAAUUAUUCUUUUUGAAUAUUGUUCUUCAACACUACUUAGAAAGAAAACACAAGAAGGUGCUACAAAGGUGCAUACACAGACUUCUUGUAUCUGUGCUGCAGGAAGUACUCGUGACACUUGUUCUAUGGCACAAAAAGUGCUGUUGGUUUCUCUGGUACUUGCGUGACACACUAAACUCAGCUCUAGUAGAUCAUGUGUACAAUGUGAUCUAACAUGCUGUUGUUCCUUUUUUCAUGCUUUUUGUAAACUUGUUAUGUCCAAGGUUGUAUUACUCCUUUCUGUUCAAGAACAUGUGAAAAAUGCUGAUUAUUUCAGUGCUUUGACUUUUAUUCCACGUCUCAACAUGCUUUGUAAUUAAUCUUUAACUAUUUGUUACAUAUGCUGUUGCUUACUGAUGGGGUCAAGGAUUUCAAAUAACGUUUGUUAUUGAAACUGAGGAUUUGAAAUAAUGUUUGUGACUGAAACUGAACAGAUAGAAUUGUAAGGCAACAGAGAUUCUCUGAUGAACUCUAUCUCAACGAAUGGCUGUUAUAAUAUUUUGGUCUUUGUUAUAUACAUAUUUACAUGAAUAUUUCCUGUGAAAUUUAGUUUUGUGGUAUAAAGCACUAUUAUCAGCAUGGUUUCUUUAUUGUUUAUCUAUAUCUAUAAUGUUUCAUGUUGUGUUUUUCUUGGACUGCUCAUUCAGUGCUGUUAAUUCCCUGCUUUUCAGUUUUGUUUAUAUCCUCUCUCUAUAUGUGUUUUUCCACAAGGAACCAAUAUUCUUGACCUUACAUGCUAUUCAAUUAUAGGCUUUUGGAAUUGUUCCUCCGUACUGAAACAUUAGCAUUUUUGUGACAAUGGAAAAUUUGAUUUGUUCUUCUUAUUUUUUGUAUUUCUUGGAGUUUUAAAGUAUGACAUUGUUGUGGGCUUCAAAGUAAAUUGAACGGUGCAAUUCUACAGUUCUGUACUUGAUGCCCUUAGUUCUGGAAGAUGCCCUUAGAACGGUGCAAUGGCAUUGAAAGCACGUCACACACAGGUUCUUAAUGCUAAAGCCCACGCAGCUAAUUUUGUGGCCUUUACAUCUCCUAUCAUUUUUCUGCACUUUCUUCCUUUAGUUGCUGUCUAUGUCAUGUUUGCUAGUAUUCAUAAUCAAUAGAAGGGUAUAAUAUAGUAUUCUAAGGUUAUGAUGUUUUUUGUCGACCUUCAGGUUUCUUUUUCAACACAUUCACUGAGUUGUAGUGUGUCAGGUAGAAGGGCAAAUGUGAGGUCCUCGAUUGUUCAGUUGUUGUAUAAAACACUUGUUUGUGCCCCUGAAGCAUCAUUUUGAUUUUAGGUAAGACUUAAAAACGAAUGUGUUCGAAAGGAAUAUGACCAUUUUUACCAUAGUUGUUAUUGGCUUUAAAAAAUAACAGAGGUAGUUUUUAAGAGAAAGGAAUACAUGCUAUGGAUUGUUAAUUUUACUAGAGCAAUUGUUACUUGUAGGCUUGUUUAAUUUAAUGUUGCCCAAUAUCACUAUUCCUCCUCUUUGCAGCUAUCUAUGAUUGGAUUUAGAAUCAGGUUCAGAGUACUUUGCUUCCUGGAUUUGCAGUGGUACAUGUCCGGAAUGCAGAAAUUUGUUGUUUGGUUUCAUUGCUAUGGUUACAACUUACGAAUAGGAUUCAUAUAAAAUUUUGCUACUAGGGAUUCACGCAGCACAGGCUCAAAUUAACUAAGUUGUUGGAAAAUCUGAAAAACCUAUCUGAUUUCAGAGCUUUCAGAUAUUUCAUUGUUAUUUCUUUUCAUUCUAGUUAAACACAUCUAAAAUGAGGCUAAUGCUGAGACUCCCAUUAAUGAGUGGUCUAGGGAGAGUUAAUAUACAUAGUCUUACUCUUAUAAUUAGAGAGGCCUCUUCCAGGACUCUAAACCUUGUCACCAGUGUUGUAAAGUAAGAAAACAAAAACAAAAACAAAAAAAGCAAAAGUGUCUACUCUAGAAAAUAUCCCACCUAAUUCUUUUUUCUUAAAAAUUGAGUAAAUGGUCUAAUUUGUAUCACAACAUAAAGUAGUAAACCAACUAAUCCUGCCUUUUGCAAACUUCAAAUCAAGAUAAAUGAUAUAUCCCAAAUCAAAUUCCAAACCCAUAGCCGAACCAAGACAGUUCAUAUUUUGAGAAACUAUAGUUAAAACAAUAUAAGGUUCAGGGGCACCUUUAGUAUAGCAAUGAAUGUUAUCCAAAAUGAAUGGUCUAAUCCACAAAACUCAUCCCCGCAGUUUGAAGAAGGUUAACAUGUUCAGUCUUACCUAUACAAAUAAAGAGGUCAUUUCCAUUGACUUUACAAACCUAAGUUUAGGACAAAAAGGCAAACUCAUCAUGGAGAUAAGGCCAACCUUUGAAGACAUUUUUAUUAUAACAUUUUUCCUCCCACUAUUCAGUAUCUUGUUGGGACAUUUCUCACUAUUCAGUAUCUUGUUAGGACAUUUCUUAAGCUUAAAAAAUCUGGAAUUUGAACAUUGUCUCUGAUUUUUAUUCUGCUGUUAGUCUUACAUUUACUUUGUUUGCUAUAAAUGGUGUAGAUUGGUAAUUGUCUUUGACUCUUUGUUUGGUUAAAUAUAUUGCAGUGUUGUUGAAAAUGUUUAGCUUAUGAUAAAACUUUUGGUGACUUUAUGGUGAGAAUUUGCAAUCAACUGAAUGAAUGCAUUCCUCUUGAUGACAUCGUGAUACAGUAUUGAAUGUGGAAGAGUACUGCCAAAGUGAUAGUGACCUUUUAUUGCCUGUGUUAUGAUGACCAGUUGAUUUUACAAACUUAGACCAUUAUAGUUUGGCUGAUUGAUUUUGCAAGAGGCAAAUCAUAUCUUACAAAUGGGUAUGGUAUAAGAUAACAGACAUGAUAGUAUACCUUACAUGCUGAUAUUGGCUGACAUGGAGGCCCAACAUUUUCAGAACCACAUGAAUAGAUGUUGGUGGAUUGCUUUUUAUAGUUUUGAUUUUUUGGAACCUUUUUAUGUGCUUAUCUCUCAUAAAAUUGAAUAAAUAAGUUUUGAUAGAAGGAUUUUGUGGCACACAUCUUUUUCAAAUAAUUGGUCUUAGUUAAGGAAAGUUGAGAUUGAAUUCCAAAUACCAUUCAGUCAGCUAACACUGCAUGGUGCCUUAUUUUCUUUUCGUUCAAGAAUUUUGACUUCUUUUACUCUUUUGAUCGGCUUAGUCAGUUAGUAUUUGUUGAUAAGAUCUAUUGCUAUGUUUAGAUUCCUUGGUCUUACCACUUCAAUUGAAGAUCCAACCUAACUCCAUGAGGUUGACUACGUUGGGCAAAUUUCAUCAUAAAAAACAGGUUAUUAAAUAUAUGUGUACUAGCCUUUGGCAUAUUAUUUUUCAUCGUAGUCUUUUGGAGGACAAUAAAAUGAAUUUUUUGUCCAUUUUUUAUGAGUAUGUGUUUCUUUAGUAGUUUGGUAUCAUGAAAUUAAUUUUAGGUACCCAUGAAACAGUUUGUAUUAAAGCAUAUUUUGGUUGUUCAAGGUGUUGGGCGCAGAGCCAACCUCGAUUGAAGCUCCGGUCUGUCAUCAAUUUGAUGUUGGGAGAUGAGUAGGUUAGGUAGAAGAUCCUACAAAACUAAAUCAGAGGCAUGCCCGACAAAAGUCUUUCCAAAGUAGAGCUGGAGAAACGUAACAGUUGCUUUAAAGGGUUCAAAGGGGUGUUAGGUGACUUAGCAUACCUAGGACAUUUUAUAUAAAGCUUUUGUAAUCAUCAAUAUUAAUUGGGAAGUUAAUUUGUGGAAUUAUUAAGCUUUACUCGAACGUGGAGAGUUAACCGAACCAUCGGGACAUUUCCAUUGGCAUAGUCGUGCGAACUUGGUAUAUUAUAGUUGUCCAUUGUGUUGGGCCAUGGAGCCAACCUUGAUUCAAGCUUGGGUCUAUUGUCAGUUUAAUCUCGCUAGAUGAUUGGGUUCAAUAGGGGCAUAUGCAAAAUUUAGUCGGGGACAUACCAAACAAAAGUCUUUAAUGCUUAAGUUAGUAAAUCUAGAGAAAUAUAAUGUAGGAUUCAGAGGUUUCAAAGAGCACUACCUAGGGCUUUUUAAUAAGGGUUUUGAUUACCAUCAAAAUUAAGUGGUUUCGCUGGAUUGUUGGGUGUUACUCGGAUGUGAGGAGUCACUCAAACCGUUACGAGAUAUAUGGCAGCUUCAUGGCUGGAUUUGACCAUAUUAGAGAUACAGGGAGUUUCGUGGCUAGAUUCGAUCGUAUUCGAGAUAGAGAAUAAUUCAUUAUCAUAUUCCAUUACAUCGUUGAUAAAGGAUACUUUAUGGUCAUAUUCGACCACGUUGGAGAAAUGAUGCUUCAUGUCGAAGUCGAUUGCAUCGAGGGCUCGAGAUGCAUCUUGGCAACAUCAUCAAGCUUUUUUUAUCGUUUUUCUACCACAAGCCACUCCAACUACAAGCUCGACUUACCUUUGUUCUACAAUUGAAAUACGAUUUGCUUUAGUAACAACGUCAUAUUAAUUUUUGAUGAUUUGACAUUUUUGCCCUGAUACUUGAUCUUUUAUGUUUGAUUGGGGCCUUCCAUAUCGUGCACCACUCAAAUUAACGAAAAAGCUAAGGAUAAGGUAGUGAAGGCCUAACAAUGCCUGACCCCUAUAAAAGGGAGCCUUAGUUGUAUCUGAGCUUCCUACUUUACAAAGCCACCAUCUUUGAUGCUAAACAAACAGGUGGCUGCAGUCUGUGGGCAAAGGCAUCCAUGGAAGCCACCUUCUUCAUUUUAGUAGCUAUGCUUACAUCCAUGAACUGAGGAAACGCUGCAAGGAAAUGGAGAGGAAGAAGACAGAUGGUGGUGCGGCCACAGAGGAGAAGAGCUCCAAGGGAAGAGUUCAUCCUAGUGACACCCCUUCACCAGUGUGUCGUGAAGAACGAGGUGAAGGUAAUCGUUGGAGAAGCUCGUUCACCAAAUAAAUCCCCAAAAAAGAAAGAUGAUGAAUUAUUGAGUGUUGAUGGGGGGCUUGUUUUACAUCUAGACAAUGCUAUGUCCACAUAUAUAUAUAUAUAUAUAUAUAUAUUUUGCCUUCCAAUGUUCCAAAGUCUCUUUAGUAGGGAAAUGUGGGAGGAAUAAUCAUCCAAUUGUUUUCUUUUUCUCUACCUACAUACGACAGAAAUAGAUGUUGCUUUCAUUAUUAACAUAGUUCAGGUUCAUAGCCA